This is a long non-coding RNA of Hippoglossus stenolepis (Pacific halibut), 600 nucleotides long. RefSeq lists it as uncharacterized. The transcript has 3 exons. The record is from RefSeq and is a predicted model, not a curated record. NCBI's taxonomy places the organism in Eukaryota, Metazoa, Chordata, Actinopteri, Pleuronectiformes, Pleuronectidae.
GAUAAAGGGACUCAUCGUGGCUCUGGCAGCCAUGUUAGCGCUCCUGAAGCUCAGAGGCGGCUCGGGGAGGAAGCACAGGAACGACCCCGAAGAGGUCACAGAGCUGCAGUCAGUCAAAGGAGACAGUCACGUGAACGAGAGCACGGCGUUCCACGUCGGCAGCACUAACGGACAGUCGAGCCUCCAGACCUGAGAAAAACCUGCAAACUCAACUAACUACAUACUAACAAACACACAAGCACUGCAACACACUGAAGAGGAACUGAUUAUCAUUUUAUUUCACGUUUUCAAAUGACUUUUUGAAAAGGGGAUUCUUCUAAUUUAAAUACGUGUUGAACGAAACGUCUUCAUGAAGGGUUUGUGGCCCCGGACAUGAAUCUGCUGUAGCAGGAGGUUUUUAUUUAUGAAGAAACCUAAAGGCUGAAUCCAGCUUAAUGAAGUUUUCAUCCAGGGGCCUGGGAAACGAUUAAUGAGCAAAGGACCUGUAGCUGCAUGUUGUCGAAGUGGAAUGAGGGAGUCGCUCUAGGGCCUGUUCAGAGGGCGGGGGAGUAUUUAACUCUUGUUCGGUGAUGUCGAGAUAAUUAGAGUCGCUCCUCUCUU